UNUGUAGCAGCACAGUCUUCUUAAUAGGCA
Molecule: non-coding RNA, 30 nt
Filed under: Rattus norvegicus (Norway rat)
Lineage: Eukaryota; Metazoa; Chordata; Mammalia; Rodentia; Muridae
Source: RNAcentral